GGGCCUGUAGCUCAGGUGGUUAGAGCGCGCCCCUGAUAAGGGCGAGGUCGUUAGUUCAAGUCUAUUCAGGCCCACCA
Molecule: transfer RNA, 77 nt
Filed under: Erysipelotrichaceae bacterium
Lineage: Bacteria; Bacillati; Bacillota; Erysipelotrichia; Erysipelotrichales; Erysipelotrichaceae
Also listed under: 1 other name
Description: tRNA-Ile
Rfam family: tRNA
About the family: Transfer RNA (tRNA) molecules are approximately 80 nucleotides in length. Their secondary structure includes four short double-helical elements and three loops (D, anti-codon, and T loops).
Source: RNAcentral